UUAGACCCAUUUGACGCAUUAAAACGUCAUUCAUGCCAACCUGUUUACCCAAUCUGCCCGAGGGGUCCAAUUUGCCGCCUCUACAAUGAUGUCAUAUAACUGAAUGAGAAUUCUUCUCGCAUGCCAGAUAAAGGUACACCAAAGAGUUCUAGUUUUUACACUGCACAUUGGGAAACUCAUGACAUCGCUAAAGUACAAAAUUCAUUAGCUCAAGAACUCCAAAUUAUCCUAUAUAAGUGCAAAUACGUGGACAAGUUCAACUAAGACACUUGAAAUUUAAGAGCACAUAGAAUACAGUUGGGGAAUUGGAGUGGGGGUCUAAUAAGCCUACUGUUGAUCUAUAACAACCAACCACCACACUCAUUAAAGUUGGUCAUACAAGUCAUAUCCUUCUUUAUAUCCAAAUCGCCUUUUUUUCUUUUAAGUUACAGGCUCUACAUAACUUUCAUAGAAAUCAAAUCGACCACACAGGCGAGAGAUGUCAGAAGCACCGAAAAUACAAGCCAUGAAUUACCAUCAGGAUGGCCAGAAACCUAAGGAGGAAAAGGGGUACCUAUAUAACUGCUUCUACACAUUGUUUUGUUGUUGUUGCUGCCCCAAGAAAUGUGAAGGCUGCUUGGUCGGUGAUUGUUGCUGUUGCAAGUAGUUCUAUGGCUAUACAUGAAGUCUGGCACUGACUUGGACCAUGACACAUAUUCAUUUAACGCAGUGUAUUUUUAAAGACCAACCUUUUGUACCUACAUAUCGCACUUAUUCUACUUGGUUGUUUGGAUAAUAUUCAAUGUUUGAUGUCA
This is a long non-coding RNA of Erigeron canadensis, 794 nucleotides long. RefSeq lists it as uncharacterized. NCBI's taxonomy places the organism in Eukaryota, Viridiplantae, Streptophyta, Magnoliopsida, Asterales, Asteraceae. The record is from RefSeq and is a predicted model, not a curated record. The transcript has 2 exons.